UGGGGAAUUUUGGACAAUGGGCGCAAGCCUGAUCCAGCAAUGCCGCGUGAGUGAAGAAGGCCUUCGGGUUGUAAAGCUCUUUCAGUCGAGAAGAAAAGGUUGUGACCAAUAAUCACAACUCAUGACGGUAUCGACAGAAGAAGCACCGGCUAACUACGUGCCAGCAGCCGCGGUAAUACGUAGGGUGCGAGCGUUAAUCGGAAUUACUGGGCGUAAAGGGUGCGCAGGCGGUUUUGUAAGUCAGAUGUGAAAUCCCCGGGCUUAACCUGGGAACUGCGUUUGAAACUACAAGACUAGAGUGUGGCAGAGGGGGGUGGAAUUCCAUGUGUAGCAGUGAAAUGCGUAGAGAUAUGGAAGAACAUCGAUGGCGAAGGCAGCCCCCUGGGUUAACACUGACGCUCAUGCACGAAAGCGUGGGGAGCAAACAGGAUUAGAUACCCCCGUAGUCCCUGAGCGGGCUGGCAAGGCGCAU
This 472-nucleotide ribosomal RNA is filed under the name uncultured bacterium. Its description in RNAcentral is "bacterial SSU rRNA". It matches the Rfam family "Bacterial small subunit ribosomal RNA", at positions 355 to 825 of the family's 1533-position model. The record is from RNAcentral.